GAUGAAGAACGUAGCGAAAUGCGAUAAGUAAUGUGAAUUGCAGAAUUCAGUGAAUCAUCGAAUCUUUGAACGCACAUUGCGCCCGCCAGUAUUCUGGCGGGCAUGCCUGUUCGAGCGUCAUUUCAACCAUCAAGCCCCCGGCUUGUGUUGGGGACCUGCGGCUGCCGCAGGCCCUGAAAAGCAGUGGCGGGCUCGCUGUCACACCGAGCGUAGUAGCAUACAUCUCGCUCUGGGCGUGCUGCGGGUUCCGGCCGUUAAACCACCCUUUUAACCCAAGGUUGACCUCGGAUCAGGUAGGAAGACCCGCUGAACUUAAGCAUAUCAAUAAGCGGAGGA
RNAcentral lists this unclassified non-coding RNA (336 nucleotides) under soil metagenome. Its description in RNAcentral is "partial contains 5.8S ribosomal RNA, internal transcribed spacer 2, and large subunit ribosomal RNA". The stretch from base 1 to 120 matches the Rfam family "5.8S ribosomal RNA", at positions 35 to 154 of the family's 154-position model. The record is from RNAcentral.